CACGGCCGAAACGUGUUGUCUUUCUUCUCUUUUCAGCAUGGAAUAAACCUAUUACUUGUCCCUUUUCAGCAAUAGUUGGUUUACAAUAAUGCUGGCCUCUGGUUAAAUCACAGUUCAGGUCACCCUUGAGAAAUGGCAGUGUAGAUUUGGAUUUGCAAUGGAAAAACUAUGAAUGUGAUGAUCAGUGCUGUCCCAGAGAAUAUCAGUGGUAUUUAUUUCUGCAACCCACAUGAGUGCAUUUAAACCCGGAUUUUAUUGAGCAGGUAAAAACAUAAUAGAAGGUUACAAAUUAACUGAAACCGUCUAGCCAGUGUGGAAGUGAGUAGUUAAUUGAUCCAAGAAUCUCACGGCCAUUUCUUGAAAGGAGCCAGGUAUCGGCUUCAACAAAAUGUUGGGUAUCUUACUGUAUGCUCCCACAAGCCUUUGGGUAAAGAAGUGCCACUUGUUCUACAUCUUAGUGCUAAUUCAACACUCCCAGAGCCUUCUUUUGAGGAUUUGCCUCAGUUUGGUGCUGGUAUAAAGCCCACGGUGGCCAAAGGUUGUUUCUGCUUUUUACUGGGAACCCUGGGAGCAGUUGUGAAGAUCUGGUAUCCUUAAACAGUCAAGAGCAGGUGUCAUAACCCAGCUUUUGACUGCAGGUCCACCAUAAUUGCUUUUGUAUAGCGCUUUUCACCCUAGCAAAUGUCCCAAACAUCCCCCAAGCACUUCACAUACAGGAGGGGACCCACUUCGGCCGCCAUUAUCUACCAACAUCCACCCAACAAAGCAGAUCAGGUAGAGGAGGAAAUGUAGGUUGUCCCGAUUGUGCAAGCCUAAUGCAGAAUUCAGCCAGGACACCAAGGUUAACACCUCUGCUCAGGGAAAUAGUGCCAUUGGAUCUUUAACGACCAAGUCGUUAUGACUUCAGUUUAUGGUCUUAUCCAAAGGACAGCACAGUGUCCACCAGCACCAUUGUUAAACAGGUUUUGGAAAUUCUUUCAUCAGAAGUCUCCUGUCCCUGUACAAACCAGUCCCGGCCUCUCGCAGCUUCUGAGGUUUAAAGAGAUCGCAACAGAAGGUUACAAAUCAUGAAUGUGAUGACCAGUGCUGCCCCAGAGACCCAGAUAACUACCAGACAUUGUGAUGUUGCGCUCUGUCCACAUCGCGAGUUUUGCAACAGCGAGGAGCCUGAUCUAAACAGUUGGAGGAUUUGACUCUUCUUGGCUUCCUGCAAGCAAUGGUGUACAAAGGCCAGGACUGUCCCCUGAUGACACACCUUAAACGCAUUUGGUAUAAUUAGAGAAGUUAACCUCACAACUAUCGGCAUCCUCUCACUGCUGACGGGCUGACUGAUAAUUGUAUAAUGUAGCGUGCUGUUCACUAAGUGGAGCCUAGUGCUUUGUGAUCUCUGAAAAGCUCAGUAAUGUGUACACCAACAAUAUGGUGUUAAAAUGUGUGUGUCUGCUUGUAUGGUGUCUUUUGCUGCUAACUUUAGAGCAGAUUUUAGUCUGGAGUAGAAAGUUUAGAGAAUCACCUUGUGGAUUAGCCUGCUUAUUUACAGUUUGUCUAACUGUUGCUUAGGUUAAUUUUUAGUUACUCUGUGGCAUAGCUGUCAUACAGUAGCAAUACAGGAUUGUAAAUCCCAGGUUUCUGUAAAUCAUGUAUCUACAGAUGCUGCUUACUAGCCAUUAUUUACAGAGAGAAAAGAGUUAAAACAUUAUUACAGUAUUUCUGAAUUAGGAUCCUGUAGGCCAUUAAAACAAUUGACUUUUUUCCUCCUAGUCAUCUAUACAUUUUAUUUUUUAAAGACCAGAUAUUAUACUGUCCUGUGGUCCCUUGUGGAUCAGUAAAAUCCACAAAGCAAUACUGUAUAUGAAGCAACCCCCUCCAAGACAUACACUCUCACUUCAACAUUGCUUUGUGUUUCACUCCCACUGGGCAUUAAUCUGUUCACAUGCAGCACCUUCAUUUCAUAUGGCUCAAAAUGCUGUACAGUCGAAUAAAGUGUGAUUAGAAAAUACACCGGUUUUCAGUAUUUUUCAGUAUAUUCUGAAAUGUUACUCAUCUUACAUUGGUGGGGCAAGUGUUCCUAUUCCUGAUUCCCACAAAAAAAAAACCUUUACUAGGACGAUCUCCCUUACAUAACCAGUAGGCAAAAUGAUGGGCUCAUCUGCACAGAUUUCUGAAAUGCAACUAGGAGAGAACAAAUCACCAUUAACUAUUAAUGCUUGAAAAUGUAAUCGGCUCCGGAGGAGUUUAAAUACAUUUUUUUUCAUUCUGUUAUAUACUCGUCUUGAAGGCAUGUCAUCGUUUCAGCUGUUGCUGUAGCACAUAUUUUGUGCUUAAGUUAAGUUUAGUAGUAUAUUGCUUCUAGUCUAAACAGCCCUAAUCUCUUCCUAGAAUAUAGUACGCCAAUUAAAACAGUAGUCAAAUCCAUGCUUCAGUGCAGCUAGCACAUCAUUAAAGUUUAAUUGGUACCAGCACAUUAGUUUCAAAACCCAUUUUCUUUCAAAGUCACUAUGCUGAACACGUUGACCAACGAAACUGCUGAAGAAACGGAAUUGAGAUAGAAAAAUAGCAGAUUUCAGGGAAACAUUGUGUUCCGAAGUCUCACUGACAAGUGUUUUCGACAUCAAAUGAGCCAUGGCAAAAGAUUACCACAAUGUGGGCAACAGUAAAGAGCAAAAUACAGCUGAAGUUAUAUAACAGAAUGCCCAAGUUAUGUACAACUGAGACUGAAAGUAUUUUAAUGAGAGAGUUGAAAUAAUAAAAUAGCAAAAUGUGUCAUAAAUGUACAGAAUGUGUGUGCGUUUAGAAGGAAAGAGCCAAUUAAUAUUUGCAUUGUGUUGGCUGAUCUAAAGACAACAUAAACCCUGAAAGAUGUUCCUUGAAAUGACAAAAGGUUUUAUCUUAAUAAACGUAAAUCUGUUUGCGGAACAAAAACCGUGAUACGGUCCCACAGACACAAAUUAGGUACAAUGAAGCUUUAGGAAAAUACAUAUUUUCCAUUCACCAAUAUUAUUUCUUUAAUUUGCAAUUCUUGUUACAAGAAUUACAAGACAUUCCCUUGUCGUGAUGCGUUCAAUACUAAGCCAUAUGUCUUGACAGCCCUUCCCGUUGUAAAGGUGGUACUGAAUUCAUACUUUUUACCCACUGCCAAAUGUUUGUGAUGGAUACGUACAGUACUGUAUGUACGCACAAUGCAGUGUGUGAACACAAUCCCAUCCCUGCAUCUAAGCCAGUUGUGUAAACUCUAAGCUUACUACACACAGCUCAGCGUUAUCGCGACCCUACGAGCGGGGUGCUCUGCUCUGAAUCACCGCGAACAUCUGUACGACGGCGAACCAAUCAGAAAACAAGCACGAUAAAGCCGCUUGGAGUCGAAAACAUAUCAGUCUCCGAUAUUUAAUCAACCCGCAGAGAGCUUUCCCGUAGCGAUGACGGGCGCGGCGCUUCCUCGGCUCUGGCGAGAAAGAUGAUCCAGUGCGCACUCCUUCGCGGCGCAGGACUAAUGAAAGGGGUUUCUGAGCUUAUUCGCGGAUUUUUAAGCAUGCACUCAUGAUGCCUUAUUUUGAAAAACUACUUUUUCUACUUUUUUGUCUGAUCCUCAUCGGUGAGUGCCGAAAGCACAGGACAAGGAGAAGGAGAUGGACGGGAGCCGUGGAGCCGCAUAAGCAUGGCUUUCCUCUGUCGAAGAAGACACAAGACGUGACCAAAACGCGAAAAGUGAAGACGGACCACCUGCUCCGCGUAGACGAUCACGAUUUUACAAUGAGACCAGCAUUUGCAGGCCCUGCAAUUCCAGUUGGAGUGGAUGUGCAAGUUGAAAGCCUGGACAGUAUUUCCGAAGUAGACAUGGACUUCACCAUGACCCUGUACCUCAGGCAUUACUGGAAAGACGAGCGCCUGUCUUUCCCCAGCACCACUAACAAAAGCAUGACCUUCGACGGCCGACUGGUGAAGAAAAUCUGGGUUCCUGACGUGUUUUUUGUCCACUCCAAGAGGUCCUUCAUCCAUGACACCACCACAGACAACAUCAUGCUGAGGGUGUUUCCCGACGGUCAUGUGCUGUACAGCUUGAGGGUCACUGUAACAGCUGCCUGUAACAUGGACUUCAGUCGUUUCCCUCUGGACUCCCAAACGUGCUCGUUAGAACUGGAGAGCUAUGCCUAUACUGAUGAGGAUCUGAUGCUGUACUGGAAAAACGGAGACGAGUCGUUAAAAACAGAUGAGAAGAUAUCUCUGUCCCAGUUCCUCAUACAGAAGUUUCACACUACCUCCAGGCUUGCGUUCUAUAGCAGCACAGGCUGGUAUAACAGGCUGUACAUCAACUUCACUCUGCGGCGCCACAUCUUCUUCUUCCUGCUCCAGACCUACUUCCCGGCCACUCUGAUGGUCAUGCUGUCCUGGGUGUCCUUCUGGAUCGACCGCAGGGCCGUACCAGCUCGAGUCUCAUUGGGUAUCACCACGGUGCUCACCAUGUCCACCAUCAUCACCGGAGUCAACGCCUCCAUGCCCAGGGUCUCCUACAUCAAGGCGGUGGACAUCUACCUCUGGGUCAGCUUCGUCUUCGUGUUCCUGUCGGUGCUGGAGUACGCCGCCGUCAACUACCUGACCACCGUGCAGGAGAGGAAGGAGAGAAAGCUCCGAGAAAAAUCCCUGCCCUGUACCUGCGGGAUGUCCCACACCCGCACCAUGAUGCUCGACGGGACCUACAGCGAGGCCGACGCCAACAGCCUGGCGGGCUACACCAGGACCGCCGUGGCGCCCGAGGAGCCGGAGAAGCAGGAGCGCAUGGUGGUCCACCUGUCCAUGAGCAGCGAGUCCACGGCGGCCAAGAAGAAGGGGAUCAGGGGACUGCGGAUCAUGCAGAACACGCACGCCAUCGACAAGUACUCCAGGAUGAUUUUCCCUGGCGCCUACAUUUUUUUUAACUUGAUAUACUGGUCCGUCUACUGCUGAUCUUCCAGGGCGGGAUCCCGCCGGACGUCUGUUUCCAGCCGGCACGGCGGCGCCAGCGGGAUCCUGACGAGGGAGGGACAGGGGGGCAGACCGCCGCGCGCGCUCCAGACCGGCGGGCGUUGGGGUGUCUUUUUUGUCUGGCAUGUUCCGUCUCGAAAGUCAAAGAUUUCUCGUACCUCCGGCUUUUAACCGACUCCAGCUUUAUCACGAUCCUCGUUACUUACCGUAUCUGCCCUGUGACCUUCAAAAACAACAUUGUGCUUCAACAAGUAAGACAUCCCAGCUGCCAGACAAGGGAACUGCGGAGACCGAUGGAUACGGACACAAGAAUCAGUCAACAAUGCCAGAUAAAUCCCAGUUGUUGAAGAUUGCAGUCGGCUGCCCACUUCUGUCGACACAAGACUGAAAUAACAAUAUUGAAAGAUUUUUUCAAAUGUGAUUGCAAAAGCUCCACAAUGGUUUUAUGCAAUUUUGCCACGCGUUUACAGCUACAACUGGAACACGUAAAGGUUUAUUCCCUGCUGAAAAGAGAAGAACAGAAACAACGUUUCAGCUGUGGAGCCUUCUUCGGGUGUUAUGAGUUAUGAGUCAAAAUCUGGUUCAGGGUUGCUCAGGGCCAGAGGCUAUCCUGGAAAGCAAUGGGCACAAGGCAGAGACGCCAGUCCAUCGCAGGGCACACACACUCAUACCAGGCCCAGUGUUCCCGGAAACCAAUUCAGCUUCCAAUAGGUUUUUGGACUGUGGGAGAAAACCAGACCACCAGGAGGAAAACCACACGAACACAGGAAGAAAAUACCAACUCUACACAUAGGUUAGCACCCCAGCUCAGGACUGCAAGGCAGUGAUGGGAUCAGCUGCACCAUGAAAUAGAGCUGACAUCGAAGGUAUUUCUGAAGGGAGGAAAAUCUUUCAUUCUGGUAGCACACUAGUAGGCUCAUUAUAAUUUACCUGCUCAGAGGAAGGAUGAUGGGUGUAUACUAUAAAACAUUAUGCGCGUUCCAUUAUUGUUUAUAUUAUUAAAAACACAACAAGAAGACUCAUCAGGAUCUACAUAGUAAAACUGGAUAGAAAACACUAAAAAUAUUCUAAAUGCAUCUAUGGAUAAUAAACAGCUUUGCCUCAAUUACUUUUCUCGAAGAUUAACAUUCAGGCUGUCGCUGUUUUUAAAUUGUUUCACUCACUGUGUAUUCUUCUGAAGAAUAUGGCUCAUGAAUAUUUAACAUGAUCAUGGUUUAAUGAAAUUCCCUAUGCCUAUGCCACACACCCCUUCAGGGACUGCACUGGGUGUUUGUGAGCACUUCCCUGACUGCAGUUUUAUUUUCCCAUUAUGAGUCUGAAGAUAAGUCUAACAAAAAAAGAAAAAGAAGCCUCAGGCAGCUGAGCCAAUUCAUGAGAUGUAAGACCAAUGCAAUAAAAUAGAGAGAAAAACAUAAACCAAGCUGUUUUUAGGUGCUUCAAUAAACAAAAGAAAACUCCUACAAUCUGUGAGGAGAAUAUUGUCUUCAAGCCUUAAACGGUAAUUCAAAGUAAAAGGAGUCUGCUGUCACAAUU
Molecule: RNA transcript, 6492 nt
Organism: Lepisosteus oculatus (spotted gar)
Lineage: Eukaryota; Metazoa; Chordata; Actinopteri; Semionotiformes; Lepisosteidae
Gene name: gamma-aminobutyric acid receptor subunit rho-2
Source: RefSeq, a predicted model, not a curated record